RNAcentral lists this long non-coding RNA (915 nucleotides) under Sinocyclocheilus anshuiensis. RNAcentral's name for it is "lncRNA (ENSSANG00000051177.1)". The record is from RNAcentral. Lineage: Eukaryota; Metazoa; Chordata; Actinopteri; Cypriniformes; Cyprinidae.
CUGUUGUCAUUUUCAUCAUCUGCAUCAUAUUCAACGCACUUGCUGGACCGGGAACUGGUCCUUUUCGGAACAACACUGGAGCGAUAUCAGAUAAAUACAAUACAGAAAUCACUCCCUCGGGAUGGACCUUCUCAAUCUGGGGUGUCAUCUACACUUGGCUGUCACUCAUGCAUGUUUACAUCCUCACCACUACCUGCAGGAGGUAAGAACUCAGUGAGCUAGAAUCAAAUGGUAAUCAAAAAAUAAAGUGGCAUGAAAUGUGAUUUUGUAAUAAUAACAUGCUGCAGUUAAUGAGACGAUUAUGUAUAUUGUGCUCACAGGACUGUUUAUGGUCCAAUGUACUGCAGUCCUGCUGUGUUGCCAUAUGGAUUCUUCAUAACCUGGAUUGUAAACAUGCUGCUAAAUAUAAUCUGGCUUCUUCUGUGGGACAGACAGUGAUGAUUGCUGCAUUCAUUAUCCUUGCCUUGAUUGCCUUCACAAACUAUUUGCUGAUAAUCUUCUCCUGUCAUGGACUCAAACAAUAUGGAGCCUGGUUAAACAAAUAUCACAAAGUAGACCUCUGGUGCAUACGGAUAUUGGUUCAGAAUGGCAUUGCAACAUACACAACAUGGACAACAAUUGCCACUCCCUUGAGUGGAAACAUGACCAAGAACUUUAAAUCUGCAGAUCCAAGCCGCAGCGGCAUUUACAUAGGUGAGCAUGAAUGUGAUAAUGGCUUUGCCGUUGUGUUCUUAAUCUGUUGUGCCAUAUUUCAUGACAACAAUAUUUUGUUAUUUUCCACAGCUGUUUUACUGGGGUUGACUUGUACACUAUUUGCGAUCAAAGUGUUGCUGGUUAUAUGGAGGCACAUUAAACAUCCUCUCUACAAAGGCAUGAAUGUAGAGGAGGCGAUAUCACCAAUGGAAAUUGCUGAAA